Long non-coding RNA from Impatiens glandulifera, 1494 nucleotides. RefSeq lists it as uncharacterized. The record is from RefSeq and is a predicted model, not a curated record. NCBI's taxonomy places the organism in Eukaryota, Viridiplantae, Streptophyta, Magnoliopsida, Ericales, Balsaminaceae. The transcript is spliced from 8 exons.
CCAAUCCAAGUAGGCAGAAUUCAUUCUAAUCCAAGUAUCUAUAAUGGCGACCAUCAAGUCGGUUCCUGUUCUACUACUGUAAGUUCUCUAUGUUUUCUUCAUUGGUCACUCCUCCGCCACUCCUAAAUCUCCACCACCGAUGGUUGGCUGUACUAAUAUAGUCCUCGAAAUGGUCGAUGGCUUGUCUUACGUCUCCACCGGAAGCACCGAUAUGAAACCACAAGGAACUUGUUUUUCAUGUAUCAAAACUGUUUUGUUUUGAAAAACAAUGCUCAGUGUAUUGCUUCGCUUUCAGAAAGAACGCUCAAUUUGGCGUCACUUUGAAUGUUACCAAAGCCAUGACUCGUCUUAAUGCAUACCGUCUCUCUCAUCCACCUCUCAUCAUUUGCGAUCCCUUGCUCCUGAUAGUUCUCUUAGACCAUCAACAUCAUCGGUUAGUGUUGGGGCUCCUAGUCCAAUUUCAGGGGAAAACGAGACCUUUAGGAGGAGAAAACGAGGGUUCUGCUUCUUCCUCUGGAUCAUCCCUACUUGCUAGUUAGCAAAGAAGCAAGUGAAAACUCUUGUGGGAGGAUAAAUGUUACUUGGCUGACCAUCCUGGCUUGGUGCUGGUUUCCACUACAUAGGUUAUGCUAGUUCAAUUGGGAAAUAAUGGGUUGAUUUUGGCCAAGAAUACAAAAAAGAACGUGUUGAUUUCAGGUUCUUCUAUUUCAAUUGAAUUUUACUUUUUUUUUUGUUAUAUAGUUGUUAAUUUGAUAAUUUUACUAUCAUCACAUUCAUUGUUGGAUCAUUGGAUGAGAUUGCUAACAAAAUUAUAGAUCGAUUGGAUUGACAUUAUUGGAUGAGAUUGCUAACCAUUGCUUAUCUUUCUUUCUCACGUGUCUUAUUUUGUUCUUCCCUAGUUUAAAGUAAUAAUGCAGGUGUAAUGGCUCCUCAAUUCACGCUUUCCCAAGACAAUAUUGAACUACAAUUUUCCACCAAUCAUUUAGGUCAUUUCCUAUUGACAAAUGAGGUGUUGGAGAUCAUGAAGAAGACAGUUCGUGAUAGCCAAAGAGAAUGAAGGAUUGUUAAUGUCUCCUCUAAAGGUCAUAUGUUAAUGUACAAGAAUAGAUUCCAUUUUGAUAAUCUCUAAAUGUCACAGAUCGGAGAACAUUGAUGCAUUGGAGACAAUAAAAGGAUUGUUGGAUGCCUUAAUUGUGAAGAUGAAGAUGAGCAUAAUGUUGUUUAGUUUUGGCUAGUGAAACGAAAGCCACGCGAAUUCCCUGUCUACUCGGUACUUUGAGGUUUUUAGCAAGUGUUUGGGAAUUCAACUAAUUUGAUGACUAUGCAGGGAGAUUUUUAAGAAAUAAAUGGAGAGUACAUGCUCAAACUUAUAUUUGAUGUAUUUUAUUUUUAUUUUAUAAAAUUGAGAAAUAAUGUUUCUAUUUUAUAGAAAUAUUAUGUAGGUUUGUUUUAGUAAUAUGAAUAUUUAGUUUUACUAAUAACAAAUCUUGUUUC